UACGUAGGGCGCAAGCGUUGUCCGGAAUUAUUGGGCGUAAAGAGCUCGUAGGCGGUUUGUCGCGUCUGCUGUGAAAACCUAAGGCUCAACCUUGGGCUUGCAGUGGGUACGGGCAGACUAGAGUGCGGUAGGGGUGACUGGAAUUCCUGGUGUAGCGGUGGAAUGCGCAGAUAUCAGGAGGAACACCGGUGGCGAAGGCGGUUCUCUGGGCCUUACCUGACGCUCAGGCGCGAAAGCUAGGGGAGCGAACAGG
This 253-nucleotide ribosomal RNA is filed under the name uncultured bacterium. RNAcentral describes it as "partial 16S ribosomal RNA". It matches the Rfam family "Bacterial small subunit ribosomal RNA", at positions 524 to 776 of the family's 1533-position model. The record is from RNAcentral.